UAAAACUCAAUGGAAUAGAUGCCUGAAGCAAAAAUAUAAUCCCAUACAAUUGUCAAAAUUGACAAGUCUCAUUCUACUAAGCAUGCAAAACUGAGGUUUCUACCUAGUAGCAAAAGAAAAACAAUAUUAAUAGAAAACCUUAAGGCAACAAGGAUUCAAAGUUCUUCUACAAAUUCACUAAUCGUCGUCUUCCUCAUCGUCAUCAUUUCCACCAGCUGCGUUCAAAGCAUUGAGUCUCUCGAUCAACUUAGCUUUCCUCUCUUCAUAAGUCAGCUUCUUAAGGUUGUACCUCUUGUGUGUCUUGGGAGGUUGCUUUCCAGACUUCUUUGGACUUGGGUCUGCGCGUAUGGCAGCAUGAACCUUUUUGUACAUCUCCUCAAGAUUGUCUGCCUCAAGACCCGCCUUGAUGUAUAAGCUGAAGUGUGUCUGAUAUUUCUCAGGUUCAUCUUCCAUCAAAGUAUUCAUAUAAGCAGCAACGUGGCCACCAUAGAUAUACUUGCGGUGA
This 505-nucleotide unclassified non-coding RNA is filed under the name Hevea brasiliensis (rubber tree). The record is from RNAcentral. Lineage: Eukaryota; Viridiplantae; Streptophyta; Magnoliopsida; Malpighiales; Euphorbiaceae.